RNAcentral lists this ribosomal RNA (253 nucleotides) under uncultured bacterium. RNAcentral describes it as "partial 16S ribosomal RNA". It matches the Rfam family "Bacterial small subunit ribosomal RNA", at positions 524 to 776 of the family's 1533-position model. The record is from RNAcentral.
UACGGAGGGGGCGAGCGUUGUUCGGAUUUACUGGGCGUAAAGGGUCCGUAGGUGGUUUUGUAAGUUAGAUGUGAAAGCCCGGAGCUCAACUCCGGAAUUGCAUUUAAAACUGCAAGACUAGAAUCAUAGAGAGGAUAGUGGAAUUUCCAGUGUAGAGGUGAAAUUCGUAGAUAUUGGAAGGAACACCAGAGGCGAAGGCGACUAUCUGGCUAUGUAUUGACACUGAGGGACGAAAGCGUGGGGAGCAAACAGG